RNAcentral lists this ribosomal RNA (449 nucleotides) under uncultured bacterium. RNAcentral's name for it is "partial 16S ribosomal RNA". It matches the Rfam family "Bacterial small subunit ribosomal RNA", at positions 330 to 797 of the family's 1533-position model. The record is from RNAcentral.
UCCAGACUCCUACGGGAGGCAGCAGUGGGGGAUAUUGCACAAUGGGGGGAACCCUGAUGCAGCGACGCCGCGUGGGUGAAGGAGCGUUUCGGCGCGUAAAGCCCUAUCGGCAGGGAAGAAGGAGGACGGUACCUGACUAAGAAGCCCCGGCUAACUACGUGCCAGCAGCCGCGGUAAUACGUAGGGGGCAAGCGUUAUCCGGAUUUACUGGGUGUAAAGGGGGCGCAGACGGCAGCGCAAGCCAGGAGUGAAAGCCCGGGGCCCAACCCCGGGACUGCUCUUGGAACUGCGCGGCUGGAGUGCAGGAGGGGCAGGCGGAAUUCCUGGUGUAGCGGUGAAAUGCGUAGAUAUCAGGAGGAACACCGGUGGCGAAGGCGGCCUGCUGGACUGCGACUGACGUUGAGGCCCGAAAGCGUGGGGAGCAAACAGGAUUAGAUACCCCGGUACCA